Molecule: ribosomal RNA, 497 nt
Filed under: uncultured bacterium
Lineage: Bacteria
Description: partial 16S ribosomal RNA
Rfam family: Bacterial small subunit ribosomal RNA
Source: RNAcentral
GAUGAACGCUGGCGGCGUGCCUAAUACAUGCAAGUCGAGCGAACAGACGAGGAGCUUGCUUCUCUGACGUUAGCGGCGGACGUGUGAGUAACACGUGGAUAACCUACCUAUAAGACUGGGAUAACUUCGGGAAACCGUAGCUAAUACCGGAUAACAUGUUGAACCGCAUGGUUCAACAGUGAAAGACGGUCUUGCUGUCACUUAUAGAGGGAUCCGCGCCGCAUUAGCUAGUUGGUAAGGUAACGGCUUACCAAGGCAACGAUGCGUAGCCGACCUGAGAGGGUGAUCGGCCACACUGGAACUGGAACACGGUCCAGACUCCUACGGGAGGCAGCAGUAGGGAAUCUUCGGCAAUGGGCGAAAGCCUGACGGAGCAACGCCGAGUGAGUGAAGAAGGUCUUCGGAUCGUAAAACUCUGUUAUUAGGGAAGAACACAUGUGUAAGUAAAUAUGCACGUCUUGACGGUACCUAAUCAGAAAGCCACGGCUAACUACGUG